UACGUAGGGCGCAAGCGUUAUCCGGAAUUAUUGGGCGUAAAGAGCUCGUAGGCGGUUUGUCGCGUCUGCCGUGAAAGUCCGGGGCUCAACUCCGGAUCUGCGGUGGGUACGGGCAGACUAGAGUGAUGUAGGGGAGACUGGAAUUCCUGGUGUAGCGGUGAAAUGCGCAGAUAUCAGGAGGAACACCGAUGGCGAAGGCAGUGAUCUGGGCCAGUACUGACGCUGAGGAGCGAAAGCGUGGGGAGCAAACAGG
RNAcentral lists this ribosomal RNA (253 nucleotides) under uncultured bacterium. Its description in RNAcentral is "partial 16S ribosomal RNA". It matches the Rfam family "Bacterial small subunit ribosomal RNA", at positions 524 to 776 of the family's 1533-position model. The record is from RNAcentral.